UAACACGUGGUCAACCUUCCCUUUAGUGGGGGAUAACUAGCCGAAAGGUUAGCUAAUACCGCAUACGAUUUAUGAAUGGCAUCAUUUAUAAAUGAAAGUAGCAAUACGCUAAAGGAUGGGACCGCGUCCCAUUAGCUAGAUGGUGGGGUAAUGGCCUACCAUGGCUCCGAUGGGUAGCUGGUUUGAGAGAGCGACCAGCCACACUGAGACUGAGAAACGGCCCAG
RNAcentral lists this ribosomal RNA (225 nucleotides) under uncultured bacterium. Its description in RNAcentral is "partial 16S ribosomal RNA". It matches the Rfam family "Bacterial small subunit ribosomal RNA", at positions 111 to 334 of the family's 1533-position model. The record is from RNAcentral.